Molecule: long non-coding RNA, 1405 nt
Filed under: Rattus norvegicus (Norway rat)
Lineage: Eukaryota; Metazoa; Chordata; Mammalia; Rodentia; Muridae
Description: long non-coding RNA NONRATT021147
Source: RNAcentral
CUAGAAACAAUAUGCAGUCAAAUUUUCAGAUACUUUGGAAUCAGUGUUUUUAAAUUUUCUUAAAGAGGUAAACUAACAACAACAACAACAUCAUCAUCAUCAAACGUGGUACAUGAAGCACCUCUACCAAUGAGGUUUCCUUUACAGUAGGCAAAGGAGAUGGCUUUGAUGCUGAACAAGGUCCUCAGUGUCUCACUUGGUAGGAGAGGGUAUAUUUAUCUUGUCAACAACACUAUGUACAGGAUGGUUUUCUAUGAAUAAAGUUCAAUGGCAAAAAAGAGGAAGUUUUCAACUUAUCUAGAAGUCUAUAUUAUAUUGUGUCAAGGACAAGAGGAGCUUUCAAGGCUGGUUUUGUUUUGACCAAGUUAACAGUUACACACUGUUAUAAUUGUAGACAUUUUCUUAUGUCUGCAGGAAUAAAAGUGUAAAACUAAAACGUUUGUCAUACGCUUCUGCUGUGCAGAGGGAUGGUAAUUCUUUUGUAUAUUCUUUAAUGUUAUUGUAAAAUAUAAAGUAACUUUUACUAUUUGCUGUGGGCAGGUCCUCAGUGCAAUGGUCUAUAGCAAGUCAGUCUCUGGCAUUAACAGGCUCUUGCUUGCUCUCUAAGUGUUUCAAGCUACAUGAAUGUGAAACACUGGAAGGCAAGGAAAUUAACCAUUAUGGCAUGUGUUAGUAAAACUGUAUUUCACUUAUCCCUGUGGAAUUUCUUGCUGUAGCAAAGGUACUGUGCAAACUGAGUGUUCUAGCCUUAACUUCCCCAGAAAGAGCACUGUCAAGAACUGGGAGUCCUGUCAGGCACAUUCUUGUUUCUAAGCAUUUUUCCUUUUUACAAAAUAAAUACUGGCUUUGUAACAUAGAGCACAUGAAAUAGAAAGUGUCAGUACUAUCUUAAAUUGAUUUAUUGAAGUACGACAGUAACUAACUUCCAGUCACUGUGUGUACGAAACCACAUAUUUACAUUUAUAGAAAACUCAUAAAAUAACAAGGAUUUGGGUAAAGACAACACAUUUGCCUCUUUAUAAUAAGUUAUUUGCGAUGAAUUGUUCUUCAUAAUUAAAAGUGCAAGGAAAAAUGUAUCUUUCAAAGUUCAAUGGAAGUUCAAUGGAAUUUGUUAAUAAGAACAAACGAACAAACCAACCAAACGAAAAUGUUAAAUUAUCCAGGAUCCUUGCCUCUUGACAGUGCGGCUUUUACAUGGACUCAUUCCUGUUUGCACAGAAGGCUUCUGUCUUUUGGAAGCUGAAAACCGAAUACUGUGGACAUGGCGACUUGUCAGCCUGUGUACAUAGGACAAUGAUAAGCUGCCAGUUGAGUGGGAUAGCUGGAUGCUGACCCCCAAAAGGCAACACUGUGGUGAUGACUUGUAUUAUAAAUUCUCUGUAGUUAAUAAAGUUGUUAUUUUUAU